AGAAAAGAAAGGAAAAAAACUUCAAUCUUGCAUGUACCACUUGUAUUUUCUUGAGAGAUGCAUUCACGUCCAACAAGAUCCACUAACGGGAUAUUCCCAAAUGUUGCUUUGUAUCGCCAACCUGGUUAUCUCUUGUGGGAGCCAUAACUGUUGUAGAUUGGUGAUGUAAAACAUUUUAUUGAUCCUAGCCGAUGAAGAGAACCGUUGCCACAAGAACACAAAGGAGAAUGAAAAACAGAACGGGAAGAAGUAUGCUAGGAUCUAAUUCAGCACAUCAGAGUGAUAGAGAAAGAAGAAGGUAGUGUGAAAAGGAAGAAGUAACAACAUAAUUACAUUCAUCUGUUAUCAUAUUAGAAAUCAAAGAGCAACACGAUGGUAAUGUAUUUCAUUGAUUCAAUGAAUUGAAUGAAUAGACUUGAAAUGGAUUGAAUGAAUUCUUGUUUACAAAUGAAAGUAAACUAUAUAUACAAGGAAAUAAAUGUUAACUAACUAAAACACCUAAAACUAAAUUGCUAACCACCAACUAUCUUCUAAAAUAUCUUCAAUUUUGGAAUUUAGGACCGCCGUGCCCAUGCCCAUGCCCAUGCCCAUGCAAAGCCCCCUACAUUAGGAUGGGCGUGGACAUGCCCAUUUUUAAAUAGCGCAUGAAAUAUCAUGCACUGCCCCCCUAAACUUGGACAUGGCGGACUUGCGGGCUGCCCUAAAUAAAACUUAAAAAAUAUAUACAAACUUAUGUACAUUUCAUUGCAAAAUAAACAAUAUAUAAUAUGAAAAUAUACAAAUGCAUUUAUCAUAAUAAAUAAUCAUACUAAUAGAAUAAUACAUACAAAAUAUUAAUGGAUAUAUAAUACAAAAUAUGCAAAGUACAUAAUUUACUUGUAAAAUACAAAAGGAAUAAUACAUUUGCAUAUAUAAUAUACAAAAUACAAAUGCAUAUACAUAAUAUGAAAACAAUAAUAUUUUCUUACAUUUGAUAUACAAAUGUAAAUAUAACAAAUAGAACACACUUUCUCACAUUUGACAAAAUACAUAUAUAUUUGUAUAUUUGAUAUUCAAUAUUUUAUCUGAUAAUGCCCAUGGGCAGCCCAUUUUGCUCGCUUGAAAUGCCUGCAGGCGAAUAAGGCAUGUUCGGCAGACAUUUUAGGGUGGAUGAACAUAUUUUUCAUGUCCUCUCCGCCCAAUAAGUGCGGGCGGGUGGGCCUCAUGGGCUUUGCCGAAAUUGCCAAUGCUAAAUAGGAAGCAUGAUUUGGAGUGAAGAAAUCUGAUUUAGGAUAUAAGAUUUCGUUUGCUAGUGGAUACUAAUAUGGUACGUAGGAAAAUCUUAAGUGACUAAAACGAGUGUUGUCUUGGAAUUGGUGAGAAGGAAGAAGAUACCACAAAACGAUGUUAUUUCGUGUCUCAAUUUUUUUAAAAUCAAAACAACAUCAUUUCGUAGAGUUGGUAAAAUUUUCCAGCACGAAAAUGUGCCGUUAACAUGUCAAGUCCGUGAUUCUGUUAAAGUUAACAUACAGGGAUAACAGAAGAACUAAUGCAAGUUUAUGUUUUAGAAUUUGGAGACCAAAAUUAUAACUUAAAUUUAUUAGAAACAGAGUUGGGAGGGCCAAAAUGGAUAAUUAUUCUUUAAGUUUUAUAGUUUUACUUUAGGGUUCCAAUGGUGGACAAUAUGAAAGAGAUAAGAUAGUUAGAAUUUUAGGGAUGUUUAAAAUUUAAAAUUUGAUAUUUUGUUCAAGGAAUGAUUUUAAAAUUUCAUAAAAUUAACCUUGUCAAUUAUAAUAAUUCUACUAGAGUCAAAUAUAAUAUUUUUCGUAUUAGUAAUACUAGUAGUUUAUGACCGUGGGUUAGAAAAAAAUCACAUUAAUUUUUUUUGAUGAAUAUAAGACUUUUGUUAAUAUUUUUCGUAUUCGUAUUAGUAAUACUAGUAGACUCUACAAUGGUGGUUGAAACUUUUCUUGGCAGGAAAUUGAUUCCUUGGAGACGAAGCAACUUCAUGAACUAGUGCAGAGAGCUCAUGAAAUCUAUGCAAAUUAAUGUCAGCCACAUUUUUAGAGAGGGGAAUGCUUGUGUAGAUAAACUAACCUCUUUUGAAGUGACUUCUCACACAGAUUCUUG
RNAcentral lists this long non-coding RNA (2109 nucleotides) under Lupinus angustifolius (narrow-leaved blue lupine). RNAcentral's name for it is "long non-coding RNA (LANG_LNC000287)". The record is from RNAcentral. Lineage: Eukaryota; Viridiplantae; Streptophyta; Magnoliopsida; Fabales; Fabaceae.